Molecule: long non-coding RNA, 261 nt
Organism: Solenopsis invicta (red fire ant)
Lineage: Eukaryota; Metazoa; Arthropoda; Insecta; Hymenoptera; Formicidae
Exons: 2
Source: RefSeq, a predicted model, not a curated record
AUAAGGAAUUGUUGCCAGAUGCCCAACCUUACAUUUAAAAUUUUUGAUCUAACGUUUGGCGCCAGCAUUUACCGCUGGCGCCAUCUACUGGAAAACGGCGGUUUUCAAAUUGUACUCCUAAUAUACCUGAACCUGAACCUGAACAAAACUAUAGACAAAUACAAAAACGAACCUCAGUUCUAAAUACACGUAACAUAAGAACAGGAACUUUAAUGCAUCAGCUAUCCAGUGAUAUAUUAGAAAUACAAAAAAAAGUACAAA